AUUAAUAAUACUAUUUUGGCAGAAUUUAAGUGUAAUAGAUUUAGAAUCUAUAUAUAUGAUAUAUAAAUCA
This 70-nucleotide transfer RNA is filed under the name Paratoxodera polyacantha. RNAcentral describes it as "tRNA-Leu". Lineage: Eukaryota; Metazoa; Arthropoda; Insecta; Mantodea; Toxoderidae. The record is from RNAcentral.